ACUGGAAUAACCCGGGGAAACUCGGGCUAAUACCGGAUACCCCCAACUAAUCGCAUGGUUAGUUGAGGAAAUGCUCCGGCGCUUCGGGAGGGUCUCGCGGCCUAUCAGCUAGUUGGUGAGGUAACGGCUCACCGAGGCAACGACGGGUAGCUGGUCUGAGAGGACGAUCAGCCACACUGGGACUGAGACACGGCCCAGACUCCUACGGGAGGCAGCAGCAGGGAAUCUUGCGCAAUGGGCGAAAGCCUGACGCAGCCACGCCGCGUGAGGGAUGAAGGCUCUAGGGUCGUAAACCUCUUUCAGCAGGGACGAAAAUGACGGUACCUGCAGAAGAAGCUCCGGCCAACUACGUGCCAGCAGCCGCGGUAACACGUAGGGAGCGAGCGUUGUCCGGAUUUAUUGGGCGUAAAGAGCUCGUAGGCUGUUCAGUAAGUCAGGUGUGAAAACUCGAGGCUCAACCUCGAGACGCCACCUGAAACUGCUGUGACUAGAGUCCGGUAGGGGAGUGUGGAAUUCCUGGUGUAGCGGUGAAAUGCGCAGAUAUCAGGAGGAACACCAGCAGCGAAGGCGGCACUCUGGGCCGGUACUGACGCUCAGGAGCGAAAGCAUGGGGAGCGAACAGGAUUAGAUACCCUGGUAGUCCAUGCCGUAAACGUUGGGCACUAGGUGUAGGAUUUAACUAACAAAUUCCGUGCCGUAGCUAACGCAUUAA
RNAcentral lists this ribosomal RNA (712 nucleotides) under uncultured Actinomycetes bacterium. Its description in RNAcentral is "bacterial SSU rRNA". It matches the Rfam family "Bacterial small subunit ribosomal RNA", at positions 137 to 863 of the family's 1533-position model. Lineage: Bacteria; Bacillati; Actinomycetota; Actinomycetes. The record is from RNAcentral.